RNAcentral lists this ribosomal RNA (415 nucleotides) under uncultured Variovorax sp. RNAcentral's name for it is "bacterial SSU rRNA". It matches the Rfam family "Bacterial small subunit ribosomal RNA", at positions 107 to 518 of the family's 1533-position model. The record is from RNAcentral. Lineage: Bacteria; Pseudomonadati; Pseudomonadota; Betaproteobacteria; Burkholderiales; Comamonadaceae.
UGAGUAAUGCAUCGGAACGUGCCCAAUCGUGGGGGAUAACGCCGCGAAAGCUGUGCUAAUACCGCAUACGAUCUACGGAGGAAAGCAGGGGAUCGCAAGACCUUGCGCGAAUGGAGCGGCCGAUGGCAGAUUAGGUAGUUGGUGAGGUAAAGGCUCACCAAGGCUUCGAUCUGUAGCUGGUCUGAGAGGACGACCAGCCACACUGGGACUGAGACACGGCCCAGACUCCUACGGGAGGCAGCAGUGGGGAAUUUUGGACAAUGGGGGAAAGCCUGAUCCAGCCAUGCCGCGUGCGCGAUGAAGGCCUUCGGGUUGUAAACUGCUUUUGUACGGAACGAAACGGCCUUUUCUAAUACACAGGGCUAAUGACGGUACCGGAAGAAUAAGCACCGGCUAACUACGUGCCAGCAGCCGC